This 410-nucleotide ribosomal RNA is filed under the name uncultured bacterium. Its description in RNAcentral is "bacterial SSU rRNA". It matches the Rfam family "Bacterial small subunit ribosomal RNA", at positions 505 to 916 of the family's 1533-position model. The record is from RNAcentral.
GUGCCAGCCGCCGCGGUAAUACGUAGGGGGCAAGCGUUAUCCGGAAUCACUGGGUGUAAAGGGUGCGUAGGCGGUAGGGCAAGUCAGAUGUGAAAGCCCGGGGCUCAACUCCGGGAUUGCAUUUGAAACUGUCUUACUAGAGUGCAGGAGAGGAAAGCGGAAUUCCUAGUGUAGCGGUGAAAUGCGUAGAUAUUAGGAAGAACACCAGUGGCGAAGGCGGCUUUCUGGACUGUAACUGACGCUGAGGCACGAAAGCGUGGGGAGCGAACAGGAUUAGAUACCCUGGUAGUCCACGCCGUAAACGAUGAGUGCUAGGUGUCGGGGCCGUGAGUCCCGGUGCUGAAGUCAACGCAUUAAGCACUCCACCUGGGGAGUACGUUCGCAAGAAUGAAACUCAAAGAAAUUGACGG